RNAcentral lists this small RNA (143 nucleotides) under Paraburkholderia unamae. RNAcentral describes it as "sbcD". It matches the Rfam family "sbcD RNA". The record is from RNAcentral. Lineage: Bacteria; Pseudomonadati; Pseudomonadota; Betaproteobacteria; Burkholderiales; Burkholderiaceae.
CCUGCGGCGAAAACUCAUGUUUUCGGAAAAGGGCUGUCUGCGCGACGUGAUCAUGUCGCGCCGGGAACGACUUUCCGUUCCCUGCUAUGAGCCUUGCGGCUCCCUGCACGCCACGUCCCCGAAAGGGACGUGGCGUGUGGGUC